AGUAAUACAUCGGAACGUGUCUUCUAGUGGGGGAUAACUGCCCGAAAGGGCAGCUAAUACCGCAUGAGACCUGAGGGUGAAAGCGGGGGAUCGCAAGACCUCGCGCUGGAAGAGCGGCCGAUGUCCGAUUAGCUAGUUGGUGAGGUAAAGGCUCACCAAGGCGACGAUCGGUAGCUGGUCUGAGAGGACGACCAGCCACACUGGGACUGAGACACGGUCCAA
Molecule: ribosomal RNA, 222 nt
Filed under: uncultured bacterium
Lineage: Bacteria
Description: partial 16S ribosomal RNA
Rfam family: Bacterial small subunit ribosomal RNA
Source: RNAcentral